Long non-coding RNA from Pezoporus occidentalis (night parrot), 478 nucleotides. RefSeq lists it as uncharacterized. The transcript has 2 exons. The record is from RefSeq and is a predicted model, not a curated record. NCBI's taxonomy places the organism in Eukaryota, Metazoa, Chordata, Aves, Psittaciformes, Psittacidae.
GGAUCAGCAUGUUGGCACACACACAGGCUGUGUUCUACCCACGACCAUUUUGUCUGAUCUCAAAAGUUAAGCAGAGUCAGGUUUGGGUCUUGUCUGGGGUUAGACGAGGAUAUGGGGGGACCAAGAGGUUUUCCCCAAGGCUGGACAGCCAGGAGUGGCAGGGUGUGUGGGACAGUAUGGGCAAGUAUCUAGUCCACUGGGCCCCUCCAGUGCUUUGGAAGCAUUGGAGAUGGAAGGCAGCUGUAUGGAGUCCCCAGCAACAAGCUGCAGAAACUGCUGAAGGGGACAGUGAAUUAUUUUGAGCCUGGUGGGCCCAAUGCACUUCAGGCCAUCAGAGCAGAGAUGCAACACAGAGAUGGACUCAUGAUCGAGGGAUGGACUCAUGAUCAAGGGGUGGACUUAGCAAUGGAUGCUAUUGCCCAGGUUAUUCACGAGUGUGAACACUGCACACAGCCUCUCCUGCUCUGAAAGACUGUUA